UAAUUUUGAGUGAUCGCGUGCACAUGAAAAGCGCUUUCGGAUCCAUGAAUACGUUCGUUGCUUGGUAAAUUACUGAGAGUCUCCCAAGCGUUUUGUGAAAGUUUUGAUUUUCACAGCUUUGCUCUGGGUCUUUGUUCGUAUAAUGCCAGAAUUCUUUCCGAGGAUAGAGUUACAGAUUCAUGAGCUACACGUUCGUUGCUUGGUUUAUUACUGUGAAAGGCCGGAGUUUGAAUUUCACAGCUUUGCUAUGAAACCUUAUUAACGUGGCACCAGUUUUCCACCUUGGCAAGCUCCGUAUUCAUCAAAUUCUCUAGUGCUAUAAGAUCGCUGGAAGAGGCGAAAACAUUGGUGUCAUCUGCGAAUAUUUUGAAACUUAGCUUGUCAGAGGAAUGUGGCAGAUCGUUUAUGUAGAUUAGGAAUAGAAGCGGACCUAGUGUACUUCCUUGCGGAAUACCACAAAGCAUUGUCAGCUCAGAAGACCUGACCCCACCCAAGUCAACAUAUUGUUUUCUGUCUGUUAGGUAAUUAGUAAACCACUUGAGUGUCAAUCCCCUUAUCCCAUAGGCCUCUAAUUUAUCUAGUAAAAUGCCAUAGUUAACUGUAUCGAAAGCCUUCGAGAAAUCUAAAAAUACACCACAGGUAUACAUAUUAUUGUCGAUCGCUUUUCUAAGAGUGUUUAUUAUUUCGGUUAUAGCCAAUGAAGUUGAGUAACCUUUCCGAAAUCCAAAUUGACAUUCGUAAAGUAUGUUCUGUUUUUCUACAUAGUUAAUGAUUUAUGGAUAAUAAUGGUUCUCAAGUACUUGAGUGAAAGUUGACAGAGUUGAAAUUGGUCAAAAAUUAAACGGAUCCGUGAUUUCACCACCCUUGUCCACAGGGGUGAUUUUAGAUAUUUUGAGUAUAUCAGGUACCACACCCUGCUGCAAUGAUUGAUUAAGUAUGGUGGUUAAACUGUCACUAAUGUGACUAGACACAAGUUUAAUACAGCGCCUUGGUACGCCAAUUGACGAUACUUUAAGGUCCAAUCCAUAUAGUAGGUCGUACACUUCGUGGACAAGAAUGGCGCAAAAACUGAAGCUAUCACGAAAAGUACGUUUUAUGUACUGUUUUGGCUGUUGGGUACUAUGUGGAAUCUUGUUCGCGAGGUCUUCACCUACAUUAAUGAAAUGCGUAUUUAAGUGGUGUCAGUAUAACACUUGUUGUUAUAGAUUAAUUUCGUAAUUGGCGGUAGACUGGUACUAUUUCUCCGGUUUAUCAGUAAACCUAUUAAUUUCCAAGUUGUUUUGUGGUUGCCACUAUUCAAUUUAAAUUGAUUCUCAAAGUACACUUUUUUGGCAGCCUCUUUUACACGAUUUAAUUUGUUGUUGUAGAUUUUAUAGAAUCUAACUUUACUCGAAUCGUUACUGAGAAAGUGCGUUAUGAAAAAUUUUUGCCUUUGUUUUAUCGAAUUAAGUACUGCCUUAGUAAGCCAUGGUUUUGCUUGCUGUUUAAUUUGUUUAUUGGUUCGUUUACGUAACGGUGCAUGUUUAUCCGUUAGAGAUUGCAGCGCACUGAUUACUUUAUUAAUGCUAUCAUUAACAUCGUCAGUUACAAAUUGUUGAAAAUCAAUUAACCCAAGAUCGCUUAUAACAAGUCAUUGUGAAAAUGCGAGAAAUCACGGAAGUACUUAUUGUCUUUACGCAAGGGAAGUUUAUUUGUGACUGUACAAAAAAACAGGCAAAUGAUCAGUGAUACCUGCUAAACAUAUCCCCGCCUUAGCAAUUUUUUGCGGUACAUUUGUAUAAAUAUGGUCGAUAAGGGUUGCGCUGUGAUCGGUAAUUCUUGUGGGCUUCGUGAUCAAUGGCAUGAAACCCGAAUCAAAUAGCAUAUCUAAAUAAUCUGUUGUUUGUGUGUCUCUAUUGUAGUGUAAAAGGUCUAUGUUCGCAUCGCUUACAACAAAAGUCUCUUUACCCCUUUUGUUGGAGUUAUCUAAAAUCUCUUGCAGCAUAUUAUGAAAUUUUUCACAAUCAUACAAUGGAUGUAUAUAAAGGCAGCCAAUGAGAACGUUCUUUUGUUUGGCCCUUGUUAUUUCAAUCCAACAAGAUUCAAUGCCGCCCUCAGCUAUUUCUAAAUCACGCCUUCUAAUGAAAUCUAAUUCAUGCGAUAUGUAAAUCCCGACUCCGCCUGCAUUAGUCGGUGAGUUUGUAUUCACAAAAACAUAACCUGGAAUAUUAAUGUUAUAAACAUUAUUAUCUUUAAGUUUUGUUUCUGAAAUCGCAAUUAUGUCCGGAGCACUUUUAACAGUCAAAAGAACAUCUUCUAACGACGUUAAGUUCGCCGAUAGGCUGCGCAUAUUCAGAUGGAUCAUAGAAAAGCCGCAGUGCUUGUUUGCAUGGAAGAGAUUUCCAGAGCGUUUGAUUGAAUAAUAUGAUCACGUUUCCAAGAAAUCACACCUAAUAUGAUCACGUUUCCAAGAAAUCACACCUAUUUUCUUAUGCACUAGUCAUUUGAAACCCCCACCCCCAAGGUCCCGGGGAAGUGUGGGGUUAACAUAAGGGCUUAGAGCACUUUUGAGCAAGAAUCUGUUCUGAGGGGGUGGCGGAAUUGACAGUUUUUGACUCUAAGACUUGUCCCCACCAUGGGGGCUUAGGGACAAAUGAAUAACAUCACAAAUGUACUUUGCAAAAGUCAUGUCAGUUGGUUUGAAACUCUUUCUCUUCUGUAGCAAGCAAAAACAAAUACAAAUGAUAACUAACGCCAGAUGAAGAUAAUUUAUUUUUCCAUUUUUUUGGUAACUAUAUCUUCAUAGUAAUUAGUACAAAUGUACUCACUAAAAUGUUACUGGCUUUGAAAGAUAAGCUUAUUUCAGAUGACUUGUUGUCGGGUAGUUGCCUAUAGUUUGCAUCCUGAGGUGUAGGGUCAUUUGACUGCGGUUUUGUCCCGAGGGGGUGGGGGCUUUUUUCUUUGUUUUGUACAGAGUCAAAGUCUAAUCCCCCACCUUUUCCCGGGACCAUGGGGGUGGGGGUUUUAAUUGACUAGUGCAUUAUAUUGUCACAUCUUUCGUCGGCACUUCGUGCCGACACUACGCGUAUCCGACAUCUUCGGGACGAUGAUACGAACAAAGACCCUGUUAACAAACAUCCAACAGCGCAAUUGAUGACUUCCACAAAAUAAACAAACAUGAGGUGUUGCA
Molecule: RNA transcript, 3169 nt
Organism: Nematostella vectensis (starlet sea anemone)
Lineage: Eukaryota; Metazoa; Cnidaria; Anthozoa; Actiniaria; Edwardsiidae
Exons: 3
Source: RefSeq, a predicted model, not a curated record